This 393-nucleotide ribosomal RNA is filed under the name Triticum aestivum (bread wheat). RNAcentral describes it as "partial small subunit ribosomal RNA". The record is from RNAcentral. Lineage: Eukaryota; Viridiplantae; Streptophyta; Magnoliopsida; Poales; Poaceae.
AUGAGGCAGGCACGGGGCGGGGCUUGCCGGAGAGGCGAGCGCGAGGCGGCGGCGCUUGCAAGGGCCGGGCGGCGGAACUGCAAGCGCUGGGCGGCAGCACUGCGAGCGUCGGGCGGCGGAACUGCAUGCGCAGGCGGCGGCGAGGCCGACGCGGUCGGAGCAGGAGGGACGGGCGCGCUAGGAGCGGCGGCGGCAGCCAGGUCGGCGACCGGAUCGAGCAGGGGAUGGCAGGGCAAGGCGAGCUCCACCUCUGGCUCGCCGACCAUGGCGCUUGAACGGCGGACUAGGAGGGAUGGCGGCGCGACGCGACCAGGAGAUGGACGGUGUUCAGAGGAGGGUGCGGCGGCGGCGGCGCGAUGCGACCAGGAAGUGGAGGAGAGAGAGAUGAGGUAG